AUUGAACGCUGGCGGCAGGCCUAACACAUGCAAGUCGAGCGGAAACGAAGAGGUGCUUGCACCUCUGGCGUCGAGCGGCGGACGGGUGAGUAAUGCUUGGGAAUAUGCCUUAUGGUGGGGGACAACAGUUGGAAACGACUGCUAAUACCGCAUGAUGUCUACGGACCAAAGUGGGGGACCUUCGGGCCUCACGCCAUAAGAUUAGCCCAAGUGGGAUUAGCUAGUUGGUGAGGUAAUGGCUCACCAAGGCGACGAUCCCUAGCUGGUUUGAGAGGAUGAUCAGCCACACUGGGACUGAGACACGGCCCAGACUCCUACGGGAGGCAGCAGUGGGGAAUAUUGCACAAUGGGCGCAAGCCUGAUGCAGCCAUGCCGCGUGUGUGAAGAAGGCCUUCGGGUUGUAAAGCACUUUCAGUAAGGAGGAAAGGUUGAGUGUUAAUAGCGCUUAGCUGUGACGUUACUUACAGAAGAAGCACCGGCUAACUCCGUGCCAGCAGCCGCGGUAAUACGGAGGGUGCGAGCGUUAAUCGGAAUUACUGGGCGUAAAGCGUACGCAGGCGGUUUGUUAAGCGAGAUGUGAAAGCCCCGGGCUCAACCUGGGAACUGCAUUUCGAACUGGCAAACUAGAGUGUGAUAGAGGGUGGUAGAAUUUCAGGUGUAGCGGUGAAAUGCGUAGAGAUCUGAAGGAAUACCGAUGGCGAAGGCAGCCACCUGGGUCAACACUGACGCUCAUGUACGAAAGCGUGGGGAGCAAACAGG
RNAcentral lists this ribosomal RNA (759 nucleotides) under uncultured bacterium. RNAcentral's name for it is "bacterial SSU rRNA". It matches the Rfam family "Bacterial small subunit ribosomal RNA", at positions 28 to 776 of the family's 1533-position model. The record is from RNAcentral.